Molecule: ribosomal RNA, 110 nt
Filed under: uncultured Ruminococcus sp.
Lineage: Bacteria; Bacillati; Bacillota; Clostridia; Eubacteriales; Oscillospiraceae
Source: RNAcentral
GGUGUCGAUGACGCCGGGGGUCCACCUGUUCCCAUACCGAACACAGAAGUUAAGCCCGGUGGUGCCGAAAAUAGUUGGCUGGCGACGGCCUGUGAAAAUAGGGAGAUGCC